RNAcentral lists this ribosomal RNA (201 nucleotides) under uncultured bacterium. RNAcentral describes it as "partial 16S ribosomal RNA". It matches the Rfam family "Bacterial small subunit ribosomal RNA", at positions 335 to 527 of the family's 1533-position model. The record is from RNAcentral.
AGUCUACGGGAGGCAGCAGCUAAGAAUAUUCCGCAAUGGACGGAAGUCUGACGGAGCGACGCCGCGUGGAUGAAGAAGGCUGAAAAGUUGUAAAAUCCUUUUGUUGAUGAAGAAUAAGGGGGAAGAGGGAAUGCUUCUCUGAUGACGGUAAUCAGCGAAUAAGCCCCGGCUAAUUACGUGCCAGCAGCCGCGGUAAUGACU